This 74-nucleotide transfer RNA is filed under the name Variovorax paradoxus. RNAcentral's name for it is "tRNA-Phe". It matches the Rfam family "tRNA", at positions 1 to 62 of the family's 71-position model. Rfam says of the family: Transfer RNA (tRNA) molecules are approximately 80 nucleotides in length. Lineage: Bacteria; Pseudomonadati; Pseudomonadota; Betaproteobacteria; Burkholderiales; Comamonadaceae. The record is from RNAcentral.
GGCCCGGUAGCUCAGUUGGUAGAGCAGCGGAUUGAAAAUCCGCGUGUCGGAGAUCAACAAGAUAGCCCGGCUCG